AGAGUUUGAUCCUGGCUCAGGACGAACGCUGGCGGCGUGCCUAACACAUGCAAGUCGAGCGGAGACAGUGAGUAGCUUGCUAUGAGCUGUUUUAGCGGCGGACGGGUGAGUAACGCGUGAGCAACCUUUCCCAGACAGGGGAAUAACACACCGAAAGGUGUACUAAUACCGCAUAGGACCACGGGAUCACAUGGUUCUGGGGUAAAAGAUUUAUCGGUUUGGGGUGGGCUCGCGUCCGAUUAGGUAGUUGGUGAGGUAACGGCCCACCAAGCCGACGAUCGGUAGCCGACCUGAGAGGGUGAUCGGCCACAUUGGGACUGAGACACGGCCCAAACUCCUACGGGAGGCAGCAGUGGGGAAUAUUGGGCAAUGGAGGAAACUCUGACCCAGCAACGCCGCGUGGAGGAAGAAGGUUUUCGGAUCGUAAACUCCUGUCCUUGGAGACGAGUAGAAGACGGUAUCCAAGGAGGAAGCCCCGGCUAACUACGUGCCAGCAGCCGCGGUAUACGUAGGGGGCAAGCGUUGUCCGGAAUAAUUGGGCGUAAAGGGCGCGUAGGCGGCUCGGUAAGUCUGGAGUGAAAGUCCUGCUUUUAAGGUGGGAAUUGCUUUGGAUACUGUCGGGCUUGAGUGCAGGAGAGGUUAGUGGAAUUCCCAGUGUAGCGGUGAAAUGCGUAGAGAUUGGGAGGAACACCAGUGGCGAAGGCGACUAACUGGACUGUAACUGACGCUGAGGCGCGAAAGUGUGGGGAGCAAACAGGAUUAGAUACCCUGGUAGUCCACACUGUAAACGAUGAAUGCUAGGUGUAGGGGGUAUCGACCCCUUCUGUGCCGCAGUCAACACAAUAAGCAUUCCGCCUGGGGAGUACGGCCGCAAGGUUGAAACUCAAAGGAGUUGACGGGGGCCCGCACAAGCAGCGGAGCAUGUGGUUUAAUUCGACGCAACGCGAAGAACCUUACCAGGUCUUGACAUCCACUUAAACUUACAGAGAUGUAAGGUGUGCUUGCACAAAGUGAGACAGGUGGUGCAUGGUUGUCGUCAGCUCGUGUCGUGAGAUGUUGGGUUAAGUCCCGCAACGAGCGCAACCCUUAUCUUCAGUUACUAACGCGUAAAGGUGAGGACUCUGAAGAGACUGCCGGGGACAACUCGGAGGAAGGUGGGGACGACGUCAAAUCAUCAUGCCCCUUAUGACCUGGGCUACACACGUGCUACAAUGGACAUGACAGAGAGAAGCGAAAUCGCAAGGUAGAGCGGAACUCAAAAAAGUGGUCCCAGUUCGGAUUGUGGGCUGCAACCCGCCCACAUGAAGUCGGAGUUGCUAGUAAUCGCGGAUCAGCAUGCCGCGGUGAAUACGUUCCCGGGCCUUGUACACACCGCCCGUCACACCAUGGGAGUUGGGAGUGCCCAAAGCCGGUGAGGCAACCGCAAGGAGCCAGCCGUCUAAGGCAAGACCAAUGACUGGGGUGAAGUCGUAACAAGAUA
Molecule: ribosomal RNA, 1480 nt
Filed under: metagenome
Description: bacterial SSU rRNA
Rfam family: Bacterial small subunit ribosomal RNA
Source: RNAcentral